AUUGAACGCUGGCGGCAGGCCUAACACAUGCAAGUCGAGCGGAUGAAGGGAGCUUUCUCCUGGAUUCAGCGGCGGACGGGUGGGUAAGGCCUAGGAAUCUGCCUGGUAGUUGGGGAUAACGUCCGGAAACGGGCGCUAAUACCACAUCCGUCCUGAGGGAGAAAGUGGGGGAUCUUCGGACAUCACGCUAUCAGAUGAGCCUAGGUCGGAUUAGCUAGUUGGUGGGGUAAAGGCCUACCAAGGCGACGAUCCGUAACUGGUCUGAGAGGAUGAUCAGUCACACUGGAACUGAGACACGGUCCAGACUCCUACGGGAGGCAGCAGUGGGGAAUAUUGGACAAUGGGCGAAAGCCUGAUGCAGCCAUGCCGCGUGUGUGAAGAAGGUCUUCGGAUUGUAAAGCACUUUAAGUUGGGAGGAAGGGCAGUAAGUUUAUCCCUUGCUGUCUUGACGUUACCUACACAAUAAGCCCCGGCUAACUUCGUG
RNAcentral lists this ribosomal RNA (484 nucleotides) under uncultured bacterium. RNAcentral describes it as "partial 16S ribosomal RNA". It matches the Rfam family "Bacterial small subunit ribosomal RNA", at positions 30 to 507 of the family's 1533-position model. The record is from RNAcentral.